Long non-coding RNA from Candoia aspera, 842 nucleotides. RefSeq lists it as uncharacterized. Lineage: Eukaryota; Metazoa; Chordata; Lepidosauria; Squamata; Candoiidae. The record is from RefSeq and is a predicted model, not a curated record. The transcript is spliced from 4 exons.
AAGAAGAAACUCUUUUUUUUUUUAAAACACUCAGUGCUGGGAGUUUCACGCAGCUGGGGGUUGGGAUGGCACUGGAGCAAGCCCAGAAAAAGGCCGAUGGUUAGAUGAGAAGAAAAAAAGUAAAGCAAAGAAGGGGAGGAGGAAAGGGAGCUCUCAUCUUGUGAGCAAAGGAAGGCGGUGCCCACGUUGCACAUACUAACUUGUAGAUCUCCAACGUCAGGGUGCCUGAACUGCAGUUCCUGCACUGAACAAGUGAUUGACUUGAUGAUGUAAAAAACCCUAAUGCAAGACUGGCAGCCCCUUUUUAUGAAAUGUUCCAAAGGCAAGUCAUCCUUCUGAAAUACCAACUGAUUUAGAAACCCGAGUUGGCCUGACCGAUUUGAUCAUGCUGGGAGAAGCAGGUGAUUAUUUCCCAUUUUGGGAAGGUCAAGGAGGUCGAAACCCCAGAGUGCUGUUUUUUCCACUGUAUGGCUGGCUCUCUGGAAUGGUCUUCCAUUGGAGGUUUGCUUAACUCUGAUGCUGUUUGCCUUCAAGAAGAUGUUGAAGAUGAAAGUUUUCUGGAGGGCAUUUAGGUUAUGAUGCCACUUAAUUGUUGCUAGCAAGUUUAGAUAUUUUAGGUAUUUGGGGUUUUCUAUCAUUAUAUGUCUUUUAUUUUGCUAUAAGCUGCUGUAAGUUUUUUUAGGUUGUGGCAGGGUAGAAAUGUGACUAACUAACUGGAACCUCAUUGCCUAGUUCAGUAGAUCAAUCAAAUCAAAAUGAUUUUCUUCAGUCUUAUCUAACUUUUUGGACUAGUGGACAUAUGUGUAGCUUUGAGAGUAUGUUGUGAUUGUUGGCAUAAAAUG